GUUCUUUGCCGGAUAGUCGCUCUGCGCUUGAUAUAUCGAUAUUUCGAAAUAUCGGGUUGUGGGGAGGAAAGUCCGAACACCCUUCGACAAGCUUAGGAUAAACCGGAGUUUGAAGAAGAAAAGCGAUAGUGGCUAACAGCCACGCUUUAUGGAAGAAAUUCUGUAGGGACGGAAAGUACAACAGAAAAUAUACAGCCGCCCGCCCCUAAAGGGUAAGGAGGCAAUGGUGAAAUCGUGCGGUAAGAGCGCACGUCGUGCUAUCGCGAGAUAGUAAGGUUGAAAACACCUAUCCGGUGCAACCUCGUAUCCGCCAGCUGGCGGAGAGGGCUAGAACCCGAGAGUAAUCGAGGGUCCAGAUAGAUGGCUAUCCCCGACAAUAGGGCUCGCGCCCAAUUUGACGGGACAAAAUUCGGCUUAUAGGCAGAGAACACAA
RNAcentral lists this RNase P RNA (433 nucleotides) under bacterium. Its description in RNAcentral is "RNase P RNA component class A". It matches the Rfam family "Bacterial RNase P class A". Rfam says of the family: Ribonuclease P (RNase P) is a ubiquitous endoribonuclease, found in archaea, bacteria and eukarya as well as chloroplasts and mitochondria. The record is from RNAcentral.